ACGCUCGACACCUACUGGAGGCAGCAGUUGGGAAUAUUGGACAAUGGAGGAAACUCUGAUCCAGUGACGCCGCGUGAAGGAAGAAGGUCUUCGGAUUGUAAACUUAUUUUGUCAGGGAAGAAAAAAUGACUGUACCUGAAGAAAAAGCACCGGCUAACUACGUGCAGCAGCCGCGGUAAUCUGAGCGGGCUGGCAAGGC
RNAcentral lists this ribosomal RNA (199 nucleotides) under uncultured bacterium. RNAcentral's name for it is "partial 16S ribosomal RNA". It matches the Rfam family "Bacterial small subunit ribosomal RNA", at positions 328 to 539 of the family's 1533-position model. The record is from RNAcentral.